This 253-nucleotide ribosomal RNA is filed under the name uncultured bacterium. RNAcentral describes it as "partial 16S ribosomal RNA". It matches the Rfam family "Bacterial small subunit ribosomal RNA", at positions 524 to 776 of the family's 1533-position model. The record is from RNAcentral.
UACGGAGGAUCCAAGCGUUAUCCGGAUUUAUUGGGUUUAAAGGGUGCGUAGGCGGCCUGUUAAGUCAGGGGUGAAAGACGGUAGCUCAACUAUCGCAGUGCCCUUGAUACUGAUGGGCUUGAAUGAACUAGAGGUAGGCGGAAUGUGACAAGUAGCGGUGAAAUGCAUAGAUAUGUCGCAGAACACCGAUUGCGAAGGCAGCUUACUAUGGUUUUAUUGACGCUGAGGCACGAAAGCGUGGGGAUCAAACAGG